This 497-nucleotide ribosomal RNA is filed under the name uncultured bacterium. RNAcentral describes it as "partial 16S ribosomal RNA". It matches the Rfam family "Bacterial small subunit ribosomal RNA", at positions 28 to 507 of the family's 1533-position model. The record is from RNAcentral.
GAUGAACGCUGGCGGCGUGCCUAAUGCAUGCAAGUCGAGCGAACAGACGAGGAGCUUGCUCCUCUGACGUUAGCGGCGGACGGGUGAGUAACACGUGGAUAACCUACCUAUAAGACUGGGAUAACUUCGGGAAACCGGAGCUAAUACCGUAUAACAUGUUGAACCGCAUGGUUCAACAGUGAAAGACGGUCUUGCUGUCACUUAUAGAUGGAUCCGCGCCGCAUUAGCUAGUUGGUAAGGUAACGGCUUACCAAGGCAACGAUGCGUAGCCGACCUGAGAGGGUGAUCGGCCACACUGGAACUGAGACACGGUCCAGACUCCUACGGGAGGCAGCAGUAGGGAAUCUUCCGCAAUGGGCGAAAGCCUGACGGAGCAACGCCGCGUGAGUGAAGAAGGUCUUCGGAUCGUAAAACUCUGUUAUUAGGGAAGAACAAAUGUGUAAGUAACUAUGCACGUCUUGACGGUACCUAAUCAGAAAGCCACGGCUAACUACGUG